GAGCGCGUAGCAGUACCGAGCGGCAGAACGGGAGAGUAACACGUGGCGAACGUGCCCUUCAGUUCGGAACAACCCAGGNAAACUUGGGCUAAUACCGGAUACGUCCGUAAGGAGAAAGAUUUAUCGCUGAAGGAUCGGCCCGCGUCUGAUUAGCUAGUUGGUGGGGUAACGGCCCACCAAGGCGACGAUCAGUAGCUGGUCUGAGAGGAUGAUCAGCCUCACUGGGACUGAGACACGGCCCAGACUCCUACGGGAGGCAGCAGUGGGGAAUAUUGGACAAUGGGCGCAAGCCUGAUCCAGCCAUGCCGCGUGGGUGAUGAAGGCCUUAGGGUUGUAAAGCCCUUUCGGCGGGGAAGAUAAUGACGGUACCCGUUUAAGAAGCCCCGGCUAACUUCGUGCCAGUAGCCGCGGUAAU
This 415-nucleotide ribosomal RNA is filed under the name uncultured bacterium. Its description in RNAcentral is "bacterial SSU rRNA". It matches the Rfam family "Bacterial small subunit ribosomal RNA", at positions 64 to 524 of the family's 1533-position model. The record is from RNAcentral.